This 253-nucleotide ribosomal RNA is filed under the name uncultured bacterium. RNAcentral describes it as "partial 16S ribosomal RNA". It matches the Rfam family "Bacterial small subunit ribosomal RNA", at positions 524 to 776 of the family's 1533-position model. The record is from RNAcentral.
UACGGAGGGUGCUAGCGUUAUCCGGAUUCACUGGGCUUAAAGGGCGCGUAGGCGGGCAAGUAAGUCAGUGGUGAAAUCUCCGGGCUUAACCCGGAAACUGCCAUUGAUACUAUUUGUCUUGAAUACUGUGGAGGUCAGCGGAAUAUGUCAUGUAGCGGUGAAAUGCUUAGAUAUGACAUAGAACACCAAUUGCGAAGGCAGCUGGCUACACAAAUAUUGACACUGAGGCACGAAAGCGUGGGGAUCAAACAGG